RNAcentral lists this ribosomal RNA (158 nucleotides) under Fusarium solani. Its description in RNAcentral is "5.8S ribosomal RNA". It matches the Rfam family "5.8S ribosomal RNA". Rfam says of the family: 5.8S ribosomal RNA (5.8S rRNA) is a component of the large subunit of the eukaryotic ribosome. It is transcribed by RNA polymerase I as part of the 45S precursor that also contains 18S and 28S rRNA. Lineage: Eukaryota; Fungi; Ascomycota; Sordariomycetes; Hypocreales; Nectriaceae. The record is from RNAcentral. RNAcentral also lists the same sequence under 1 other name.
AAACUUCCAACAACGGAUCUCUUGGCUCUGGCAUCGAUGAAGAACGCAGCGAAAUGCGAUAAGUAAUGUGAAUUGCAGAAUUCAGUGAAUCAUCGAAUCUUUGAACGCACAUUGCGCCCGCCAGUAUUCUGGCGGGCAUGCCUGUUCGAGCGUCAUUA